This 68-nucleotide transfer RNA is filed under the name Flavoperla hatakeyamae. RNAcentral describes it as "tRNA-Asn". Lineage: Eukaryota; Metazoa; Arthropoda; Insecta; Plecoptera; Perlidae. The record is from RNAcentral.
UUAAUUAGAAGCCAAAGCUAGCGGCAUACCACUGUUAAUGGUAAAACUGAACUUAUGUUCCAAUUAAG